UAAAAAUGAGAGAGAGAGAGAGAGAAUCAAUUUUUGUUAUUUUGACACCUGAUUGUCACAACAUGUGUGUAAAAAUUGGUGUUAUUUUGAAAGAGAGAAGAGGUUAGAAGAGAGAAAGAAUCAAUUUUUUUUGGCACCUGAAUGUCACUACCUUAAAAUUGGUGUCAUUUUGAAAGAGAGAAGGUUAGAAAAUGAGAGAGAGAGUGAGAGAAGCAAGCAUUCUUUAGUAUAACAUAAAUAUUUCCCUUCACAUUUUGAUUGAUUAAAUAUUGUUUAACGUCCCUCUCGAGAAUCUUUCACUCAUAUGGAGACGUCACCACUGCCGGUGAAGGGCUGCAAAAUUUAGGCCUAUGCUCAGCGCUUACGGCCUUUGAGCAGGGAGGGAUCUUUAUCGUGCCACACCUGCUGGGACACAGGACCUUAGUUUUUGCAGUCUCAUCCUAAGGACUGUCCCAUUUAGUCGCCUCUUACAACAAGCAGGGGGUACUGAGGACCUAUUCUAACCCGGAUCCCCACGGGAUUUUUACAUUUUGAAGCUAUCCAUGAAUUUCAAUACAUGUGUAUAAGAAUCCAAUGUAUAUAAUGUUCUUUAUCACUUAGAAAGAAUGGAAGAAGGAGGUUUACAAGAUAGAGAUAAUAUGCAUAACUAUAAACUUUCUAAUGUGUUGUCUUUCAGUAGAGGUGUGUAUUGAUCAAGAUUUUCCAAUACGAUACAAUACAAUAUUUUCUGAUGCGAUAUCUGAUAUAUUGGAUUUACAAUGUAGUUAAGCAUUUUCUGAAGUAAAAUAUCAAAAUUAAAAAAAAUGAAGUGGUUUAAUAUCUUUUAUUUCAUAACAAAACAAACAAUGACAAUUAAAGUCUGAGGAAACACCAAUGUCACAAUGUAAAAGCGGGGCUUAAAGUCUGAGGAACCUCUGAUGUCACAAUGGAUAUUGCAGUCAAUGACUGUGAUUCAUCUUAUAAUGCAAAAGUUGGAGAUACGCUCCUACAGUGAAGGACCCUGAUUAUGAACCAGACCACUGCUCCGACAGUGAUUCAGACUCUCUAAUUGAAGAAAACCAAGAUGAUCUUCCUGACAGUUUUAGGAAAGUGACCUCAUGAUAGAAGUUUCAGAAUGUCCUACCAUUGAUCCUGGAAGUGAAAAAGUAUCUGAUAGUGAAGAAAGCUACAGUAGCAUAGAGAGUGAAAACUAUCCCAUGCUCUCUAGAAAGAAAGAAAAAGACAUUUCUUUUUAAGCCAUAAGGUGUUCCCAAAAAUUCAAUUGGAAACUUCAACAAACUGCAUGCCUGCUUUUUUUUGAUAAGAUGAUUGCUAACAUUGCAAGACAUCUUGAACUAGCACACAAAGCAGAAGUUGAAGUAGCCAGGGUUUUAGCUUUCCCCCCAAAAAGCAAAGAAAGGGGAUAAAUGAGGGAGGAACUUCAAAGUAUUAAUGUGUGCAUUAUGUAUAAAUUUAUUUGAUGUAAUCACUAGUAAAACCGAUUUUGCUUAAUAUACAUUUUUUUCUAUGCACUACAUAAUUAUGUAGAUGCAAUAACUGGGACUUAACAUUUGAAAAGAAGUUGUUUGUGAUUCUUUGCAAUUGUACUAUGAACCUGUAAGUUACAUCAUUAAAUAUAAUGCUAGAUUCAA
This is an RNA transcript of Ostrea edulis (European flat oyster), 1631 nucleotides long. RefSeq lists it as uncharacterized. Lineage: Eukaryota; Metazoa; Mollusca; Bivalvia; Ostreida; Ostreidae. The transcript is spliced from 5 exons. The record is from RefSeq and is a predicted model, not a curated record.